RNAcentral lists this ribosomal RNA (497 nucleotides) under uncultured bacterium. RNAcentral's name for it is "partial 16S ribosomal RNA". It matches the Rfam family "Bacterial small subunit ribosomal RNA", at positions 28 to 507 of the family's 1533-position model. The record is from RNAcentral.
GAUGAACGCUGGCGGCGUGCCUAAUACAUGCAAGUCGAGCGAACAGACGAGGAGCUUGCUCCUUUGACGUUAGCGGCGGACGGGUGAGGAACAUGUAGUUAACCUAUCUAUAAGAGUGGGAAAACUUCGGGAAACCGAGGCUAAGAACGGACAAUAAUUCGUACCGCAUGGUUAGAUAGUGAAAGAGGGCGGUGCUUACACUUAUAGAUGGACCUGCGCCGUAUUAGCUAGUUGGUAAGGUAACGGCUUACCAAGGCAACGAUACGUAGCCGACCUGAGAGGGUGAUCGGCCACACUGGAACUGAGACACGGUCCAGACUCCUACGGGAGGCAGCAGUAGGGAAUCUUCCGCAAUGGGCGAAAGCCUGACGGAGCAACGCCGCGUGAGUGAUGAAGGUCUUCGGAUCGUAAAACUCUGUUAUUAGGGAAGAACAAACGUGUAAGUAACUGUGCACGUCUUGACGGUACCUAAUCAGAAAGCCACGGCUAACUACGUG